AAAAUCAACGAUGAAGGUUUUUGGCAAGUCAAUCGUAACAUAACAGUGAUAGCACCAUAAGUCUGUCUAUAACUGGAGGUAUUAAUCUGAGAGCAUUCAACAAAUUGAGAUAUUGGAGAAAAUGAAAAUCAAUGGAGUGAACUUGCAUGUCUUGAAGAGAAAAGUUAAUCUUUCUUGCACAUUUCUUUCUGUUGAUAAUAGAAUAGGUUAAUUAAUUUUUAUUGAAUGAUGCAAAUUAAAGUUUAGAUUCACUUUGCUUGCCAACCUUUGAUCGACUUGCUCGAUGGAUGUUACUUUGCUUACUCUUUACCUAAUUUUGUAGUUAGGACCUUAAUAAAAAUGUUUGUGGAGCAGGAAAAAAAUGGCCAACUUCUUACUUUCGAAACCUUAAUAGAGGGCAGAAAUGUCAUAUGAGCUAUUUUUUUCUAAUUUUAUUUCUGUCUUUAGUUUUUUUUUCUUUGUCAUAUGACAUUAUUUACGAUAAUCUCAUAGUAAUCAACACAAAGCAUAAUAACUGUUGGCCGAGUCCACGUAAUAAACACAUAGUUUCUAGACCACAUAAUAAACACAUAGUUUCAUAAACCGCUUAUAACUUUCUCAAAACGGCGCACAUAGAUUUUGAAAAAACCGUUUUCUAGAACAAUCGAGUGGAUCUAUAAAUGAGACAACUCGGUUGGAUGUCAAAUUGUUCAGGGUGGUUCUCUAAAUUGCUCAAGAGAUUAGUCUCUAAAAAACUUGAGGCUUGAUGAUGAGGUCUCGAAAGGUGACGAACAAGAGAAAUAUGAUAUAUAUCCGUACAAAAUAUGAUUUAUUGUUAUCAUCGAAUUGAUGUUUUACCAGAUGGUAUAUCUAUUUCUCUAUAAUCGAUUCAUAUGUAUAUAUUUCUCAUUUUAUAUGAUUUUCAUGUUGUUUUGUUUGGUUAUAUAACUGACUUGACAAUUUCAUGUAGGAUCAACAACAGGGGAAUAUGGCUUCAUGCCUGUAUGUGACCUCAAGGCCUCUCACUCUCUCAGUCGUGAAGGUGUUUGAGGAUAAAUUGAGGUCAUGGAGAUCGCUCAUGUCCAAGUCGGAGAGGGUUUUCCCUUUCAAGCAAGAGCAACGAACAUGAUGUGAGCCAUCUCCUUUUCUCGGUUCUCUUUCUUCGCCUUUCGUAUUCUUUGGCGUAAGAAGGUCUCAUGCAUGAUUCACCAUCUUUCAUGUCUUCUCCAUCUCCAACAAGACUAGAUGUCGAUUAGCAGCGUCUCAAUCCUCAAGCUUCAGUUUUGAUUAAAAUGAAGAGUCGAAGACUUUUCUAUGUUGUUCGUCUGUUCCAAUCAUUAAAUUUUCUCCUUAUUUAUUGAUUCAAAAAUAUAACAUCUAAUGAAAAUUGUAGUUGUGAAAUUUUCUGAAAAAUUUCUCCUUGUAAUACUUCAACAAAUUUAUGUCUUCAUAUCUG
This 1435-nucleotide long non-coding RNA is filed under the name Fragaria vesca (wild strawberry). RNAcentral describes it as "long non-coding RNA (FVES_LNC001614)". The record is from RNAcentral. Lineage: Eukaryota; Viridiplantae; Streptophyta; Magnoliopsida; Rosales; Rosaceae.